This 74-nucleotide transfer RNA is filed under the name Corydalis balansae. Its description in RNAcentral is "tRNA-Val". It matches the Rfam family "tRNA". Rfam says of the family: Transfer RNA (tRNA) molecules are approximately 80 nucleotides in length. Their secondary structure includes four short double-helical elements and three loops (D, anti-codon, and T loops). Further hydrogen bonds mediate the characteristic L-shaped molecular structure. tRNAs have two regions of fundamental functional importance: the anti-codon, which is responsible for specific mRNA codon recognition, and the 3' end, to which the tRNAs corresponding amino acid is attached (by aminoacyl-tRNA synthetases). tRNAs cope with the degeneracy of the genetic code in two manners: having more than one tRNA (with a specific anti-codon) for a particular amino acid; and 'wobble' base-pairing, i.e. permitting non-standard base-pairing at the 3rd anti-codon position. The record is from RNAcentral. Lineage: Eukaryota; Viridiplantae; Streptophyta; Magnoliopsida; Ranunculales; Papaveraceae.
AGGGCUAUAGCUCAGUUGGGUAGAGCACCUCAUUUCCACCGAGAAAGUCUACGAUUCGAAUCCGUAUAGCCCUA